RNAcentral lists this ribosomal RNA (905 nucleotides) under Cucurbitaria berberidis. RNAcentral describes it as "LSU rRNA". It matches the Rfam family "Eukaryotic large subunit ribosomal RNA", at positions 38 to 960 of the family's 3401-position model. Lineage: Eukaryota; Fungi; Ascomycota; Dothideomycetes; Pleosporales; Cucurbitariaceae. The record is from RNAcentral.
GCAUAUCAAUAAGCGGAGGAAAAGAAACCAACAGGGAUUGCCCUAGUAACGGCGAGUGAAGCGGCAUCAGCUCAAAUUUGAAAUCUGGCUCUUUCAGGGUCCGAGUUGUAAUUUGCAGAGGGCGCUUUGGCGUUGGCAGCGGUCUAAGUUCCUUGGAACAGGACGUCACAGAGGGUGAGAAUCCCGUACGUGGUCGCUAACCUUCGCCGUGUAAAGCCCCUUCGACGAGUCGAGUUGUUUGGGAAUGCAGCUCUAAAUGGGAGGUAAAUUUCUUCUAAAGCUAAAUACUGGCCAGAGACCGAUAGCGCACAAGUAGAGUGAUCGAAAGAUGAAAAGCACUUUGGAAAGAGAGUCAAAUAGCACGUGAAAUUGUUGAAAGGGAAGCGCUUGCAGCCAGACUUGCCUGUAGUUGCUCAUCCGGGCUUUUGCCCGGUGCACUCUUCUGCGGGCAGGCCAGCAUCAGUCUAGGCGGUUGGAUAAAGGCCUCUGUCACGUACCUCCUUUCGGGGAGGCCUUAUAGGGGAGGCGACAUGCAACCAGCCUGGACUGAGGUCCGCGCAUCUGCUAGGAUGCUGGCGUAAUGGCUGUAAGCGGCCCGUCUUGAAACACGGACCAAGGAGUCUAACAUCUAUGCGAGUGUUUGGGUGUCAAGCCCGAACGCGUAAUGAAAGUGAACGGAGGUGGGAUCCCUUUUAGGGUGCACCAUCGACCGAUCCUGAUGUCUUCGGAUGGAUUUGAGUAAGAGCAUGGCUGUUGGGACCCGAAAGAUGGUGAACUAUGCUUGAAUAGGGUGAAGCCAGAGGAAACUCUGGUGGAGGCUCGCAGCGGUUCUGACGUGCAAAUCGAUCGUCAAAUUUGGGCAUAGGGGCGAAAGACUAAUCGAACUAUCUAGUAGCUGGUCCUGC